Molecule: ribosomal RNA, 447 nt
Filed under: uncultured bacterium
Lineage: Bacteria
Description: bacterial SSU rRNA
Rfam family: Bacterial small subunit ribosomal RNA
Source: RNAcentral
GGGGAAUUUUCCGCAAUGGGCGAAAGUCUGACGGAGCAACGCCGCGUGAGUGAAGAAGGUUUUCGGAUCGUAAAACUCUGUUGUUAAAGAAGAACAAGGAUGAGAGUAACUGCUCAUCCCCUGACGGUAUUUAACCAGAAAGCCACGGCUAACUACGUGCCAGCAGCCGCGGUAAUACGUAGGUGGCAAGCGUUGUCCGGAUUUAUUGGGCGUAAAGCGAGCGCAGGCGGUUCUUUAAGUCUGAUGUGAAAGCCCCCGGCUCAACCGGGGAGGGUCAUUGGAAACUGGAGAACUUGAGUGCAGAAGAGGAGAGUGGAAUUCCACGUGUAGCGGUGAAAUGCGUAGAUAUGUGGAGGAACACCAGUGGCGAAGGCGACUCUCUGGUCUGUAACUGACGCUGAGGCUCGAAAGCGUGGGGAGCAAACAGGAUUAGAUACCCUGGUAGUC